AAGGCCGAUUCUCUGGACUUAGUGGUGGGCUACACUGAUCUCGCCUGCAACAUCGACUGGUUUGACCAUUUAAGUGAAACAACUUAACGUCACGCACGGUGAUCGCGGCAGUGUCGACGCAGCUACUCCAGGGGUGACGACAUCAGCUGAGACAAGAAACGUGUUUCGUAUGAUGCGAAAAGUGCAGCGGUGCGGAUGAUCGCCACAUGCGGUGUGUUAAGCAACUCGAGAAAGCUUUGCUAGGUGCAAGUGUUACUGCGAGGCAGUGCCGAAAAUACAAAGGCAGCGCCGAAAAACACAGCUGGUUGACAGCUCUGAAACAGCAGUCCUGCCUCUCUUCAAUAUCUGAAGAGCACAUUAUGCUAUCAAGAAAAUGCUCACUGCUGAAACAGCACCACACGUUAACAGCAAGCGGAAGAGUAAGGUAUCUGCAGUUCAAGCAGUGCAAAGGUGCUGCUUCUAUUGUUCUUGUGCCAGCUGUCACCCAUCACGCCGGCACCACUACGACUGGUUUUGCCACAAGCGUCUUGGUGUCCUGAUGUCGCAGAGAAUUGUUGUGUGACCACAUCGUCAGCAAAGUAUGAAGCAUCAUCAUUUCCACCGCAUCCCGUCUCGCAAUUCUGGAUGGUACAGCGUUCUCCAUUCAGCAAGAUGGAACAGUCAGUGAACAAAUCUGCGCAAUACUGUUGCAUUGUGGAAAUCAUACAGGUACCAUGGGUGUUAAGAAGUUUUGAUAUUCCUUCUAUGUAAGAUAAAUUCGAGAUUUAAAGAUAAUUAAAUGAAAUAAAGCUUCUCUGACAAUUUUUAUUUACACAAUAUGUUGAAUGCCUUUGAUGUAUUUUGUUUUAUAAUUCUAGGACAAUAAAGUUUGAUUUCAGUGAAG
Molecule: long non-coding RNA, 883 nt
Organism: Rhipicephalus sanguineus (brown dog tick)
Lineage: Eukaryota; Metazoa; Arthropoda; Arachnida; Ixodida; Ixodidae
Exons: 4
Source: RefSeq, a predicted model, not a curated record